RNAcentral lists this unclassified non-coding RNA (301 nucleotides) under Hevea brasiliensis (rubber tree). The record is from RNAcentral. Lineage: Eukaryota; Viridiplantae; Streptophyta; Magnoliopsida; Malpighiales; Euphorbiaceae.
UCUCGAAGGAAAAAGAAAUCUAGGGAAGUUGUCGUUGAAGCUGACAACUUUUGUAGGAAGAAUGUCAUUAAUGGAGUAGCUACUGCUCCGUCUUGUGGGAGUUCACGUUCACGCUCACCUGGACGAGGUCUUAAAAGGAAAAUAGGCUGUCUUGAUUCAGCUACUCGAUUGGGGCGGAAGAAGAAGAUUGAGCAGGAUUACGAGAUGGGAGAUGUUAUUGGACGAGGGAAAUUUGGGUCUGUUUUAUUAUGUCAGAGAAAGUUGAGUGGAGAAAAACAUGCUUGUAAGACUUUGCUUAAGG